This 207-nucleotide long non-coding RNA is filed under the name Lathyrus oleraceus (garden pea). Its description in RNAcentral is "Pisum sativum (pea) long non-coding RNA (PSAT_LNC000165)". Lineage: Eukaryota; Viridiplantae; Streptophyta; Magnoliopsida; Fabales; Fabaceae. The record is from RNAcentral.
UUGGUUGAGAAUUGAGAGAGACAUGGAGGUUUUAAGAAUGGGUUUUUAUGGAGUUUAAAUAUGAUAAAUGAGGAAGAAGAAGAGGGAAAAGGUGGAGUUCUUAAAAAUGGGUGGGGAGGAAACAUAUGAAGUGGGAAACGUGGAAAAAGAGAGAAAAGAUGUCACAUUACCUUGAGAAUCGUCCCCAAAACACGUUGUCGGGCGUCU